UUGAUACUCCCUCCGUCCGAAAAUACUUGUCACCAAAAUGGGUGAAAAGAGAUGUAUCUAGAACUAAAAUACAUCUAGAUACAUCCUCUUUUAUUCAUUUUGAUGACAAGUAUUUCCGGACGGAGGAAGUAUCUA
Molecule: non-coding RNA, 135 nt
Organism: Triticum aestivum (bread wheat)
Lineage: Eukaryota; Viridiplantae; Streptophyta; Magnoliopsida; Poales; Poaceae
Source: Rfam